AGGGUGACAGCCCCGUACACAAAAAUGCACAUACUGUGAGCUCGAUGAGUAGGGCGGGACACGUGGUAUCCUGUCUGAAUAUGGGGGGACCAUCCUCCAAGGCUAAAUACUCCUGACUGACCGAUAGUGAACCAGUACCGUGAGGGAAAGGCGAAAAGAACCCCGGCGAGGGGAGUGAAAAAGAACCUGAAACCGUGUACGUACAAGCAGUGGGAGCACGCUUCGGCGUGUGACUGCGUACCUUUUGUAUAAUGGGUCAGCGACUUAUAUUCUGUAGCAAGGUUAACCGAAUAGGGGAGCCGAAGGGAAACCGAGUCUUAACUGGGCGUUAAGUUGCAGGGUAUAGACCCGAAACCCGGUGAUCUAGCCAUGGGCAGGUUGAAGGUUGGGUAACACUAACUGGAGGACCGAACCGACUAAUGUUGAAAAAUUAGCGGAUGACUUGUGGCUGGGGGUGAAAGGCCAAUCAAACCGGGAGAUAGCUGGUUCUCCCCGAAAGCUAUUUAGGUAGCGCCUCGUGAAUUCAUCUCCGGGGGUAGAGCACUGUUUCGGCAAGGGGGUCAUCCCGACUUACCAACCCGAUGCAAACUGCGAAUACCGGAGAAUGUUAUCACGGGAGACACACGGCGGGUGCUAACGUCCGUCGUGAAGAGGGAAACAACCCAGACCGCCAGCUAAGGUCCCAAAGUCAUGGUUAAGUGGGAAACGAUGUGGGAAGGCCCAGACAGCCAGGAUGUUGGCUUAGAAGCAGCCAUCAUUUAAAGAAAGCGUAAUAGCUCACUGGUCGAGUCGGCCUGCGCGGAAGAUGUAACGGGGCUAAACCAUGCACCGAAGCUGCGGCAGCGACACUGUGUGUUGUUGGGUAGGGGAGCGUUCUGUAAGCCUGUGAAGGUGUACUGUGAGGUAUGCUGGAGGUAUCAGAAGUGCGAAUGCUGACAUAAGUAACGAUAAAGCGGGUGAA
Molecule: ribosomal RNA, 961 nt
Filed under: Escherichia coli
Lineage: Bacteria; Pseudomonadati; Pseudomonadota; Gammaproteobacteria; Enterobacterales; Enterobacteriaceae
Description: partial 23S ribosomal RNA
Rfam family: Bacterial large subunit ribosomal RNA
Source: RNAcentral